This 957-nucleotide ribosomal RNA is filed under the name Hypoxylon pulicicidum. RNAcentral's name for it is "partial large subunit ribosomal RNA". The record is from RNAcentral. Lineage: Eukaryota; Fungi; Ascomycota; Sordariomycetes; Xylariales; Hypoxylaceae.
AUAUCAAUARGCGGAGGAAAAGAAACCAACAGGGAUUGCCCUAGUAACGGCGAGUGAAGCGGCAACAGCUCAAAUUUGAAAUCUGGCCCUAGUGGUCCGAAUUGUAAUUUGUAGAGGAUGCUUUUGGUGCGGUGCCUUCCGAGUUCCCUGGAACGGGACGCCGGAGAGGGUGAGAGCCCCGUACGGUUGGACACCUAGCCUCUGUAUAGCUCCUUCAACGAGUCGAGUAGUUUGGGAAUGCUGCUCUAAAUGGGAGGUAAAUUUCUUCUAAAGCUAAAUACCGGCCAGAGACCGAUAGCGCACAAGUAGAGUGAUCGAAAGAUGAAAAGCACUUUGAAAAGAGGGUUAAAUAGCACGUGAAAUUGUUGAAAGGGAAGCGUUUGCGACCAGACCUUUUCCGGGCGGAUCAUCCGGCGUUCUCGCCGGUGCACUUCGUCCGGUUUAGGCCAGCAUCGGUUUUCUUAGGGGGAUAAAGGCUUGGGGAAUGUAGCUCUUUCGGGAGUGUUAUAGCCCCUUGCGUAAUACCCUUCGGGGGACCGAGGACCGCGCUCUGCAAGGAUGCUGGCGUAAUGGUCGUCAACGACCCGUCUUGAAACACGGACCAAGGAGUCGAACAUUUGUGCGAGUGUUUGGGUGUUAAACCCUCACGCGUAAUGAAAGUGAACGGAGGUGAGAGCCCGUACGGGUGCAUCAUCGACCGAUCCUGAUGUCUUCGGAUGGAUUUGAGUAAGAGCAUAACUGUUCGGACCCGAAAGAUGGUGAACUAUGCGUGGAUAGGGUGAAGCCAGAGGAAACUCUGGUGGAGGCUCGCAGCGGUUCUGACGUGCAAAUCGAUCGUCAAAUCUGCGCAUGGGGGCGAAAGACUUAUCGAACCAUCUAGUAGCUGGUUACCGCCGAAGUUUCCCUCAGAUAGCAGUGUUGUCUUCAGUUUUAUGAGGUAAGCGAAUGAUUAGGGAC